This 253-nucleotide ribosomal RNA is filed under the name uncultured bacterium. RNAcentral describes it as "partial 16S ribosomal RNA". It matches the Rfam family "Bacterial small subunit ribosomal RNA", at positions 524 to 776 of the family's 1533-position model. The record is from RNAcentral.
UACGUAGGGGGCGAGCGUUGUCCGGAUUUAUUGGGCGUAAAGAGCGUGUAGGCGGUUCGGUAAGUCUGUCGUGAAAUCCUGAGGCUCAACCUCGGGCGUGCGAUGGAUACUGCCGGGCUAGAGGAUGGUAGAGGCGAGUGGAAUUCCCGGUGUGGCGGUGAAAUGCGCAGAUAUCGGGAGGAACACCAGUAGCGAAGGCGGCUCGCUGGGCCAUUCCUGACGCUGAGACGCGAAAGCUAGGGGAGCGAACAGG